RNAcentral lists this unclassified non-coding RNA (222 nucleotides) under Hevea brasiliensis (rubber tree). Lineage: Eukaryota; Viridiplantae; Streptophyta; Magnoliopsida; Malpighiales; Euphorbiaceae. The record is from RNAcentral.
UUGGAGUUGAAGAAAAGGCUGCUGGUGGCGGUGGAAAGGAGGAGAAGGAGGAGGAGGAGAGCCAUGGCGAUUCAAGAGGUCUUGAAGCUGAGCAAUAAGCUGCCUAAGCAUGGCAAGCUCUUCUUCCAUGCUCCGGAAGAAGCAAGGCUGAGGGAGGAGGAGGACAGAGGCCACUUUCUCCGCCUCUAAAAAGAAACCCACCAACCCAAUCAAACCUGAGAC